This 338-nucleotide ribosomal RNA is filed under the name uncultured bacterium. RNAcentral's name for it is "bacterial SSU rRNA". It matches the Rfam family "Bacterial small subunit ribosomal RNA", at positions 22 to 356 of the family's 1533-position model. The record is from RNAcentral.
GCUCAGAUUGAACGCUGGCGGCAGGCCUAACACAUGCAAGUCGAACGGUAACAGGAAACAGCUUGCUGUUUCGCUGGCGAGUGGCGGACGGGUGAGUAAUGUCUGGGAAACUGCCUGAUGGAGGGGGAUAACUACUGGAAACGGUAGCUAAUACCGCAUAACGUCGCAAGACCAAAGAGGGGGACCUUCGGGCCUCUUGCCAUCGGAUGUGCCCAGAUGGGAUUAGCUAGUAGGUGGGGUAAAGGCUCACCUAGGCGACGAUCCCUAGCUGGUCUGAGAGGAUGACCAGCCACACUGGAACUGAGACACGGUCCAGACUCCUACGGGAGGCAGCAGUA